UACGUAGGCAGCGAGCGUUGUUCGGAGUUACUGGGCGUAAAGGGUGUGUAGGCGGUUGUUUAAGUUUGGUGUGAAAUCUCCCGGCUCAACUGGGAGGGUGCGCCGAAUACUGAAUGACUUGGAGUGCGGGAGAGGUGAGUGGAAUUCCUGGUGUAGCGGUGAAAUGCGUAGAUAUCAGGAGGAACACCUGCGGUGUAGACGGCUUUCUGGACCAUUGUUGACGCUGAGACACGAAAGCGUGGGUAGCAAACAGG
RNAcentral lists this ribosomal RNA (254 nucleotides) under uncultured bacterium. Its description in RNAcentral is "partial 16S ribosomal RNA". It matches the Rfam family "Bacterial small subunit ribosomal RNA", at positions 524 to 776 of the family's 1533-position model. The record is from RNAcentral.